UGGGGAAUAUUGGACAAUGGGCGAAAGCCUGAUCCAGCAAUGCCGCGUGAGUGAUGAAGGCCUUAGGGUUGUAAAGCUCUUUUACCCGGGAUGAUAAUGACAGUACCGGGAGAAUAAGCUCCGGCUAACUCCGUGCCAGCAGCCGCGGUAAUACGGAGGGAGCUAGCGUUGUUCGGAUAUACUGGGCGUAAAGCGCACGUAGGCGGCGCAGCAAGUCAGGGGUGAAAUCCCGGGGCUCAACCCCGGAACUGCCCUUGAAACUGCAGUGCUAGAAUUCUGGAGAGGCGAGUGGAAUUCCGAGUGUAGAGGUGAAAUUCGUAGAUAUUCGGAAGAACACCAGUGGCGAAGGCGACUCGCUGGACAGACAUUGACGCUGAGGUGCGAAAGCGUGGGGAGCAAACA
Molecule: ribosomal RNA, 402 nt
Filed under: uncultured bacterium
Lineage: Bacteria
Also listed under: 1 other name
Description: partial 16S ribosomal RNA
Rfam family: Bacterial small subunit ribosomal RNA
Source: RNAcentral